GACGAACGCUGGCGGCGUGCCUAAUACAUGCAAGUCGAACGCUUCUUUCCUCCCGAGUGCUUGCACUCAAUUGGAAAGAGGAGUGUCGGACGGGUGAGUAACACGUGGGUAACCUACCCAUCAGAGGGGGAUAACACUUGGAAACAGGUGCUAAUACCGCAUAACAGUUUAUGCCGCAUGGCAUAAGAGUGAAAGGCGCUUUCGGGUGUCGCUGAUGGAUGGACCCGCGGUGCAUUAGCUAGUUGGUGAGGUAACGGCUCACCAAGGCCACGAUGCAUAGCCGACCUGAGAGGGUGAUCGGCCACACUGGGACUGAGACACGGCCCAGACUCCUACGGGAGGCAGCAGUAGGGAAUCUUCGGCAAUGGACGAAAGUCUGACCGAGCAACGCCGCGUGAGUGAAGAAGGUUUUCGGAUCGUAAAACUCUGUUGUUAGAGAAGAACAAGGACGUUAGUAACUGAACGUCCCCUGACGGUAUCUAACCAGAAAGCCACGGCUAACUACGUG
This 508-nucleotide ribosomal RNA is filed under the name uncultured bacterium. Its description in RNAcentral is "partial 16S ribosomal RNA". It matches the Rfam family "Bacterial small subunit ribosomal RNA", at positions 28 to 507 of the family's 1533-position model. The record is from RNAcentral.